Molecule: ribosomal RNA, 844 nt
Filed under: uncultured Gammaproteobacteria bacterium
Lineage: Bacteria; Pseudomonadati; Pseudomonadota; Gammaproteobacteria
Description: bacterial SSU rRNA
Rfam family: Bacterial small subunit ribosomal RNA
Source: RNAcentral
ACGCUGGCGGUAGGCUUAACACAUGCAAGUCGAGCGAGAAAGUAUCUUCGGAUAUGAGUAGAGCGGCGGACGGGUGAGUAACGCGUAGGAAUCUACCUAGUAGAAGGGGAUAGCCCGGGGAAACUCGGAUUAAUACCGUAUACCUCCUUAGGGAGAAAGAGGGCCUCUCUUGAAGCUCUCGCUAUUAGAUGAGCCUGCGUAAGAUUAGCUUGUUGGUGAGGUAAUGGCUUACCAAGGCUACGAUCUUUAGCUGGUCUGAGAGGACGAUCAGCCACAUUGGGACUGAGACACGGCCCAGACUCCUACGGGAGGCAGCAGUGGGGAAUAUUGGACAAUGGGCGCAAGCCUGAUCCAGCCAUACCGCGUGUGUGAAGAAGGCCUUCGGGUUGUAAAGCACUUUAAGCAGGGAGAAAAAGCAAUAAGUUAAUACCUUAUUGCCGUGAUGUUACCUGCAGAAUAAGCACCGGCUAAUUCCGUGCCAGCAGCCGCGGUAAUACGGAAGGUGCAAGCGUUAAUCGGAAUUACUGGGCGUAAAGCGCGCGUAGGUGGUUUGUUAAGUUGGAUGUGAAAGCCCUGGGCUCAACCUAGGAACUGCAUCCAAAACUAACUCACUAGAGUACGAUAGAGGGAGGUAGAAUUCAUAGUGUAGCGGUGGAAUGCGUAGAUAUUAUGAAGAAUACCAGUGGCGAAGGCGGCCUCCUGGAUCUGUACUGACACUAAGGUGCGAAAGCGUGGGUAGCGAACAGGAUUAGAUACCCUGGUAGUCCACGCCGUAAACGAUGACAACUAGCUGUUGGGAGACAAUGUCUUUCAGUGGCGCAGCUAACGUUUUAAGUUGUCCGCC